AUGCCCGAGACUACCUUCAGAAGCCUAACCGUGCAACAGCUUUAUACCAGGUGAAUGUGUGAACAAACAGAUCAGAGGCUCUACCUGCCAGGUGGCUCUCCAGGUGUGCCCUGUGAUUCCCCACGCUCGCCUGCAGGCUGCACUGUUGACGUGGUUAUCUCCCAGGCUCGCACAGCAGGCAAUUCAAACAGGUUGUGUCAACGCUGCAGGUAGGCACUGAAUCCACACAGCCAAGGCUGAAAAAGAUUGCCUCUGCCGCGAGAACUGUGGGCUAAGAACUGUGGUGGGCUGAGAACUGUGGAGAUGAGCCCACUUAGAGCUCCUAGUGUGCGCAUGCGUGGAGGGACACCUACUGGAGCAUGGGUAUCUUUCAUGGCCACAUUCCUGAAGAAAACAGAUGCUGGAGCCAGGAUCAGGAAAGGACCAGGAACAAGGUCCUCCACACACCCUCCAUCCGUGCGUUCCAGGGCUCGUGGGUUUGCUUCAGCCAAAACCUCGAACGAGCCACAUCCUUGUGCUCUUGACUGUGGUGAGGUCUUUUUAUUGCAUUUAUAAAUGUUCCCCCUGGGGCUGUUACUCAAAAGGGUUCAUCUAAUGAAUAAGACAACUAAC
This 612-nucleotide long non-coding RNA is filed under the name Mus pahari (shrew mouse). RNAcentral's name for it is "lncRNA (MGP_PahariEiJ_G0004764.1)". The record is from RNAcentral. Lineage: Eukaryota; Metazoa; Chordata; Mammalia; Rodentia; Muridae.